This 6111-nucleotide long non-coding RNA is filed under the name Gossypium barbadense (sea-island cotton). RNAcentral's name for it is "long non-coding RNA (GBAR_LNC011261)". The record is from RNAcentral. Lineage: Eukaryota; Viridiplantae; Streptophyta; Magnoliopsida; Malvales; Malvaceae.
AUAAAUUAAGAGGUAUAAAUAACAACUUUCAAAGCUUCUACAAUAACAAGAGAGAUUACAAAAGAUUAUAAGCUAUCAAGAAGAUCAACAAUUCUUUUAUCAACCUUUUGUGCUUCAAAUUUUCAUAUUUUUCUUACAAACACUUGUGAGCAACUCUUUUUAUUUGUAUUAGCUCAAGUGUUUUUAUUGUGUGAGUGCUUAAUUGAAAAACAUCCUAAUCUUGUAAGGAUUGUUUCUUUAUUUGCUUAUUUGUUUACUUUUUUGAGAGGGUUUAAGUCUUAAGAUUUGGGUAGAAAUCAUAAGGGAAUUGUAAGGUUAAACUUUGUCCUCAAAGGUUGAUCAAAUUAGUAAAUUUGGAAAAAUUCUUAAUUAUGGAAAACUAAGAUAGUGGAGUAGGCAAUUGAGUUGAACCACUCUAAAUUCUUGUGUUCAUUGUCCUAUCUUUUCAUUCUUGCUUCAAAAAAUUUUUAAAAGGCCAAUUCGCCUCCCCCCCUUGCCUUUUUCGAUUGAUUGUUCAAGCUAACAACAACUGAGCAGUUUACCAAAAUAAAAAUAAUUAAAGACUUAAUUAUAAAAUUUAAAAAUUAUAAAUAACAUUAACGUGAAAAUAUUAAAAAAUAAUCUUAUUAUGUAUCAUUAAAAAAUAGAUUAAAAAGACGGCCUAAACAAUGAUUUAUAAAAAAAAGGGUGGUAUAAACUUAAUACAGAUAGGGGAGUUGAUAUGCGAUUUGGAAGUGCAAUGGCGGGUGGGAUAGUAAGAUGUCACCAAGGCAACUGGGUAUUUGGGUAUGGCUGCAACAUAGGCGUUAACUCGAUCCUAGAGGCAGAACUUCGAUCAAUUGUUGAUGGGCUAGAAACAACUUGGGAGAAGAGGGUGUGUUAGCUGCUAAUUGAGUGUGAAGUAAGAUAGCAGUAGACCUAAUACUUUGGGCCAAAAUGGUGGGAUCGCUGAGAUUGGCAUUGGAAGUUUGCAACUGGAUGACGAGGGAUUGGCAAGUAGAGAUUCAACAUGUACCACGAACAGUGAAUAUGGUUGCUAAUGCCUAUACACAAGGCGAUAAGGUGUUGCCAAAUAGGUUUUUAUUUUUUCCCAUAACCGCCUUUGGUGGUGCAAGAUGUAAUGUUAAGGGAUAAGUGCUAAGUAACUAGUCUAUUGUUAUCGAUUGAGCAUUAUAGUUUAAAUUCCUUUAGUAACUUUAAAAAAAAAAGUUAUAUCCUUAAUACAAAAAAAAACGUGGGGUGAUUAAAAAAUACAAAAAAAAUGACAUUAGAAUUUUUUAACUUUCAUCAUAUAAAUACCAUUAUUAUAGAUUAUUAUUAAUUGCAAAUCUUAAUUAAUACUUUUAAAUUAUAAUUAAUGAUAUAUUAAAUAAUCAAAGUUAUCACUUGCUAAAAUUAUAGCUAACUACCUAAGUUUCCUUAUUUGUUACAAAACUUUAAUCCAAAAAAUAGUUGUAGUUCUGCUCUUGUAUAAAAAAAAUUCAAGUUCAAGAAGGGUUAUAUCGAGUUAAAUUACAAAGAUAGGUGGGUCGGGUUUGAGAUAAAUCCGUCCUACCCACCCUCAAAAUAUUUACAAAAAUGCCCCCAUGAUACAUAUAUUAAGUGUUUGCUUUCUAUAAAUAAAUAUAUAUAUAAAAAAUGAAUCAAUUAAGUUUUAAGUCUAUACCAUAGAAGUUAAGAGUUUGUUCUAGGUAGCAAGAUUUUGUCUGCUAAGUGGAAAGGGUUUGUUUUGUUAGGGUUUAUUUUUUUUGAAAUAGAGGUUAGGAAGUGGCGGGUAGGUUUGCAAAGAGUUCCUUUGCAGGUUUAUGCGAUCUGAUAAUACGAAUUCAAUGGAAAAACGAUCUAGCGGGGUUGAAGAUUGACGAUGGAGAGGAAGAGGCUUGACAACUUCCUAGUGAAUCUGAAUCUCAGAAAUUGUCUUAUUAGUUAUGUCUUGUGCGGUAUUUUUUAAUGGCCAACGUGGUUUAGUUCUCUGUAAUACGAAACACAAUGGAAAAUUUAUGACAUCCAUUGCGGAGGGAUACAAAUUUCAAAUCUAGGGGAAAAAAGCAUUUGUUCAAGUUCUUCCAUGAAGUUGAUGUGGAACGAGUUUUGAGCGGCACUCUAUGGACUUUUAACAAUCAUUUCUUAAUGCUUCAUCGGUUAAGAGAGGGGAGGAUCCAAAACUAGUUCCUUUGGCGUUUCUGGACUUUUAGGUUUAGGUGAAUGAUCUCCCACCAAUAUUUUUUAAAGAAUGUGGCAAAGCAGUUUGGAGACUUUAUUGGGAAAUUUUUGGAGUAUGACACUAAAUAAUUAAGCUAGGUUGUUAGGAUAUAUCUACAAAUUCGGGUUUAGUUAGAUGUGUCGAAACCUUUAAAGAGAAGGAAGAAGCUUAUGAUUUCUCAAUCCAAUUUUGUAUAUGCAACGUUCUGUUAUGAAAGACUGACAUUGUCCUGCUAUUUGUAUGGAUGCUUGGGUCAUAGGGACAAUUUCUAUCAAAUCAAAAUCAAUCAUGGCAUGAAGAAGAUAGAUUUUGGAUGGGAUAUGUUAUUGAGGGCACAAUUGACUACGGGAUGAUGAUAGUGGAGAACUUUUUGGCACAAAAAUCGGAAUGCAAAAUUCGAGUAAAAAUUGUAGCGAAAUGAUAAAAAUAGACUCAUGCUAGAAGAUAAACCCUAUCUUGGGCUUCAAUAUGGAAGGGAUGUCAAGUUAGGAUGACAAAUGGAAUAAGUUCUUCAAGUGGGUCAGGCCGAGUUGGUUAGACCUUUCCUUUCCCGCAUUUGUCGAUCGACUGAUUCAUUUCUUGAUUUAAAUAUAAUAGUUUAAUUCAAUUAACGAAUUUAAAAAUAUUAAAGCACUUAAAUUCACGCAAUUAACCUUUUAAUGACAUUUUACAUAUUUACGCUAAACUUUUACCUUUUAUUCAAUUUAAUCCUUAAAACCAAAAAUUUCACAAUUAUCACAAAUUAACUCAAAAAUCUUUGUGCCGAAUUCUAUAAAGUACUUAAACAGCCUAUAUUUACCACUUUACCACAAGAAUUUCAUGUUAUUGUACAAUUUUAACAACUUAGUCCCUAAAUUUUAAAAUUAACUAAAAUCGCUUUACAAAAUAGUUCUAUUUAACUAUCGAGCUUAAUAAUCUAUCAUCAAAGUUCAAGUACAUCACAAAUUCAUGCAUGACAUAAUUAUAAAUAUUUAAAAAUUUUACGAAUUAGUCUCCAAGUUUGCUAGAUUAAGCGAUCUUAAAAACAUAAAAAUCACUAAAAACGAACUCAAAAUGCAUGCCAUGCAAGAGACUUAAAGCUUGGCCAAAUGCUUAUCUACUAAACAAUGGAGUUUUGGUUAUCCCCCAAAGACAAAAGAGAAAGAUAAUGACUUUGUUCAUCUUUUGUUUAAAUUGUUUAUUAAUUUAAUUACCAUUUUAACCUUUUAAUUUUAACUAAAAUUUCAUAAUUUAGAACCUUUAAACCGUCGACUAUAAUAGACAAGGCAUAUUUACCUUUUAAAUCCCUCAAUUCAUGGUUCCAUAACCAUUCAAUACAAUUAAACUAAUAGCGAUUGACUUUUGUAACUUUUACAAUUUAAUCCUUUUUACUUAAUUAACUAUCUAAACGUUAAAUUUUCUAACCAAAUUUUAAUACAACACUAUAAUAACCCUGUAAAUAUUAAAUAAAUAAAAAUUACUGACUCACUGGUUAGAAUAGUGGUUCCAAAAUUAUUGUUUUUGACACCACUGAAAAACGGGCUGUUACACUUAUACCGAAAAUAACCCAUCCAAUAAACCUCAAGAAUUUUCAGUGAAUUAGUUUUUGCAUGGUUCUAUAUAAAGUAAUAUCAAUGCCUGUAGCAAAUCGCCUCCAAAAAGUUUUAAAGGUAUGUAUCAAUAAAGCCCAAAGUGAUUUCGUCCUGAGAAGAUUGAUUACUGAUAAUGUCCUUUUUGCCUAUGAACUCAUGCAUACUUUUAAGCAGAGAAGGAUGAGAGAGAAAGGAAGCUUGACAUUAAAACUUGAUAUGAGCAAGUUGUAUGAUAGGGUGAAAUGGGUUUUCCUAGAGCAGAUAAUACUAAAAAUAGGUUUUGCUAGCUCAUGUGUUGACUUUAUAAUGCAUUAUAUUAACUCAGUCUUUUACUCGAUAUGUCUAAACGGAGAGAUAGGGGAGAGGUUCAAACCAAAAUGGGGAUUACAUCAAAGGGAUCCGUUGAGCCCUUAUUUGUUUUUAAUAUGUAGCGAAAGUCUUUCUUCUCUUAUGUGAUUAGCUAUUUAGGAAGGAUUAAUAAAUGGGGCAAGGGUAAGCUGUAGAGGGCCUCCUAUUUCUCAUUUAUUGUUUGAUGACGAUUGUAUUUUGUUUGGUGAUGAGAUAAAAAGAGGAACACAUAAUUUAAAGAGUAUAUUGCAGGAGUAUGAAAUCUGCUUGAGUCAGUGCAUUAAUUUUGAAAAAUCAUUUGCUUAUUUUAGCUCAAAUGUAUCAGAGCAAACAAGGGAACUGAUGUCUUUUAUCCUCAAUGUCAGAAUUUUUAGGGACCCAAAAAGAUAUCUAGGUUUACCUAAUAUGGUGGGCAAGAACAAGCAAAAGGCUUUCCAAAUUCUAAAGGAUCGACUAAUGAGUAGGAUUAAUGCGUGGAAUAUAAAUCAUUUUUCACAACGGGAAAGGAAGUUUUUAUAAAAUAAGUACUACAAACAAUCCUGACGUAUCCAAUGACGUGUUUCCUAUUGUCUAAUUCGCUUUGUCUUGAAUUGGAGAGUAUCAUUGGAAAAUUUUGGUGGCAAAAGAGCCAUGGCAAGCAGGGUAUCCAUUGGUGUGAGUGGAGGAGAUUGUGUAAUUUGAAAGAGGAUGGAGGAUUAGGAAUUAGAUGACUAUCAAAAUUUAAUUUGGUGUUAUUAGCAAUGUUAAGGUUGGCAUCUAAUCUGUUAUCCAAAUUCUUUAUUGGCACGAUUGUUAAAAGCCAAAUAUUACAUAGAGUCAGAUUUCUUAAAUGCAAGAUUGAGCAAUUUACUUUCAUAUACCUGAAAGAGUAUGUGGGCGGCGAAAAGGCUACUAAAGAAGGGAUUAUUCUGGCGAAUCGGAUCAAGAAAUUAAGUCUUGGUUGGGAAGAUACGUGGGUGCCGAGAGCUAUGGAUUUCAAAAUCCAAACACGAGCAAAUGAUCAGCAUAUAUGUUAUGUAUCGUAUUUAAUUGAUCAAACUACAAAUUAUUGGAGGGAAGGAUUAAUUAAAACUACCUUUAAUGAAGAAGAAGCUGACAGGAUCUUAUGCAUUCGUUUACCAUGUCGACCACAGGAGGACAGGUUGGUAUGGCGAGGUGAGGUUUCUGGGGAAUACUCGAUAAGGAGUGGGUACAAAAUACUAAUACAAGAAAUACACCCGACUACUCUCAACAAUGAACAACAUGCUUACAACCCUUUUUAUAUUUUUAUAAAAGACUUUGGCUCUUGGAUCUGCCUUCUAAAAUAAAAAUUAUGAAUUGGAGGAUUUUUAACAGUUAUUUGCCUAAUCAAUACAAUCUAUACUAAAGGAGAUUGGUGGGAUCUGCGAACUGUCCCAAAUGUACAGGCAAAGCAGAAAAUGUUGAGCAUGCUUUUCGGGAUUGUUUAACUGUAAAAGAAAUUUGGGGAAAGUUAGGUAUAGACUGGCAACAGGAACUAAACAAGGGUCAGUUUAAAGAUUGGAUGGUAUACCUCUAUAACAGCGUCUCAAUACAAAAAUGUGAGUAAUAGCCUGUUCAUUUUUGGCCAUGUGGAUAGCUAGGAACAAAUACCUACAUGAGGGGAUACUACAAAAUGCAUCCGACAUAGCAUGUUUCAUCACGAGUUAAAUACAGGAAUUGGAGGAACUUAAAAAGAGGUUACCUGGUUGAAGAGUGUAGGGAGAGCGUUGGAGAUCGCCGAAGGAGUCGUAUGUGAAAAUCAACUUUGAUGCUGCUUUUCACAAACAAAGCAAAAGUUCAUGUUCGAGGAUAGUGGUCAGGGAUUCAAGUGGGAGGGCUCUGAAUUUUACCAUGCGCCUGAAUGAGCACAUACCAACUGGAUUUGUUGCAGAGGCAAUUGCGUGUGUCCAAGCGGUUCAGUUAGGGGUGGAUUUGGGAAUCGUGAAGGCUGAAAUUGAAGACAAUGCGUUGUCAGUAAUAAAGGAAUAC